RNAcentral lists this ribosomal RNA (449 nucleotides) under uncultured bacterium. RNAcentral describes it as "partial 16S ribosomal RNA". It matches the Rfam family "Bacterial small subunit ribosomal RNA", at positions 29 to 523 of the family's 1533-position model. The record is from RNAcentral.
AGCGAACGCUGGCGGCAGGCCUAACACAUGCAAGUCGAACGAACUCUUCGGAGUUAGUGGCGGACGGGUGAGUAACACGUGGGAACGUGCCUUUAGGUUCGGAAUAACUCAGGGAAACUUGUGCUAAUACCGAAUGUGCCCUUCGGGGGAAAGAUUUAUCGCCUUUAGGGCGGCCCGCGUCUGAUUAGCUUGUUGGUGGGGUAAUGGCCCACCAAGGCGACGAUCAGUAGCUGGUCUGAGAGGAUGACCAGCCACAUUGGGCCUGCGACACGGCCCAAACCCCUACGGGGGGCAGCAGUGGGGAAUCUUGCGCAAUGGGCGAAAGCCUGACGCAGCCAUGCCGCGUGGAUGAUGAAGGUCUUAGAAUUGUAAAAUCCUUUCACCGGUGAAGAUAAUGACUGUAGCCGGAGAAGAAGCCCCGGCUAACUUCGUGCCAGCAGCCGCCGUAA